This 1346-nucleotide ribosomal RNA is filed under the name uncultured bacterium. RNAcentral's name for it is "bacterial SSU rRNA". It matches the Rfam family "Bacterial small subunit ribosomal RNA", at positions 28 to 1380 of the family's 1533-position model. The record is from RNAcentral.
GACGAACUUUGGCGGCGUGCUUAACACAUGCAAGUCGAACGGAAAGGCCCUGCUUUUGUGGGGUGCUCGAGUGGCGAACGGGUGAGUAACACGUGAGUAACCUGCCCUUGACUUUGGGAUAACUUCAGGAAACUGGGGCUAAUACCGGAUAGGAGCUCCUGCUGCAUGGUGGGGGUUGGAAAGUUUCGGCGGUUGGGGAUGGACUCGCGGCUUAUCAGCUUGUUGGUGGGGUAGUGGCUUACCAAGGCUUUGACGGGUAGCCGGCCUGAGAGGGUGACCGGCCACAUUGGGACUGAGAUACGGCCCAGACUCCUACGGGAGGCAGCAGUGGGGAAUAUUGCACAAUGGGCGGAAGCCUGAUGCAGCAACGCCGCGUGCGGGAUGACGGCCUUCGGGUUGUAAACCGCUUUCGCCUGUGACGAAGCGUGAGUGACGGUAAUGGGUAAAGAAGCACCGGCUAACUACGUGCCAGCAGCCGCGGUGAUACGUAGGGUGCGAGCGUUGUCCGGAUUUAUUGGGCGUAAAGGGCUCGUAGGUGGUUGAUCGCGUCGGAAGUGUAAUCUUGGGGCUUAACCCUGAGCGUGCUUUCGAUACGGGUUGACUUGAGGAAGGUAGGGGGAGAAUGGAAUUCCUGGUGGAGCGGUGGAAUGCGCAGAUAUCAGGAGGAACACCAGUGGCGAAGGCGGUUCUCUGGGCCUUUCCUGACGCUGAGGAGCGAAAGCGUGGGGAGCGAACAGGCUUAGAUACCCUGGUAGUCCACGCUGUAAACGGUGGGUACUAGGUGUGGGGUCCAUUCCACGGGUUCCGUGCCGUAGCUAACGCUUUAAGUACCCCGCCUGGGGAGUACGGCCGCAAGGCUAAAACUCAAAGGAAUUGACGGGGCCCCGCACAAGCGGCGGAGCAUGCGGAUUAAUUCGAUGCAACGCGUAGAACCUUACCUGGGUUUGACAUGGAUCGGGAGUGCUCAGAGAUGGGUGUGCCUCUUUUGGGGUCGGUUCACAGGUGGUGCAUGCCUGUCGUCAGCUCGUGUCGUGAGAUGUUGGGUUAAGUCCCGCAACGAGCGCAACCCUUGUUCACUGUUGCCAGCACGUUAUGGUGGGGACUCAGUGGAGACCGCCGGGGUCAACUCGGAGGAAGGUGGGGAUGACGUCAAGUCCUCAUGCCCCUUAUGUCCAGGGCUUCACGCAUGCUACAAUGGCUGGUACAGAGAGUGGCGAGCCUGUGAGGGUGAGCGAAUCUCGGAAAGCCGGUCUCAGUUCGGAUUGGGGUCUGCAACUCGACCUCAUGAAGUCGGAGUCGCUAGUAAUCGCAAAUCAGCAACGCUGCGGUGAAUACGUUCCCGGGGC